This 497-nucleotide ribosomal RNA is filed under the name uncultured bacterium. RNAcentral describes it as "partial 16S ribosomal RNA". It matches the Rfam family "Bacterial small subunit ribosomal RNA", at positions 28 to 507 of the family's 1533-position model. The record is from RNAcentral.
GAUGAACGCUGGCGGCGUGCCUAAUACAUGCAAGUCGAGCGAACAGACGAGGCGCUUGCUCCUCUGACGUUAGCGGCGGACGGGUGAGUAACACGUGGAUCACCUACCUAUAAGACUGGGAUAACUUCGGGAAACCGGAGCUAAUACCGGAUAAUAUAUUGAACCGCCUGGUUCAAUAGUGACAGCCGGUUUUGCUGUCACUUAUAGAUGGCUCCGCGUCGCAUUAGCUAGUUGGUAAGGUAACGGCUUACCAAGGCAACGAUGCGUAGCCGACAUGAGAGGGUGAUCGGCCACACUGGAACUGAGACACGGUCCAGACGCCAACGGGAGGCAGCAGUAGGGAAUCUUCCGCAAUGGGCGAAAGCUUGACGGAGCAACGCCGCGUGAGUGAUGAAGGUCUUCGGAUCGUAAAACUCUGUUAUUAGGGAAGAACAAAUGUGUAAGUAACUAUGCACGUCCUGACGGUACCUAAUCAGAAAGCCACGGCUAACUACGUG